Doryrhamphus excisus (bluestripe pipefish) is the source of this 2272-nucleotide non-coding RNA. The record is from RefSeq and is a predicted model, not a curated record. NCBI's taxonomy places the organism in Eukaryota, Metazoa, Chordata, Actinopteri, Syngnathiformes, Syngnathidae.
GAGGGUCACAAGCGGUAAUACGUCAGUCAGUCAAAAUCUAGCUAGUUUUUAAUUUAUUUGUGUUUUAUUUGUUUAUCAACAGUCAUGUCGGACAAUUUGAAACAGCAAUAGCAUACCUAUGAACAACAACGUUGAACUUUAACAGACGACGAUAGAUCUGGUGGCACACCUUUUGAGUUGUUUUGAGCAUGACUAGCCAGGACCCAAGUAGCUUUUAAGUUUUAGGCUUUGACUCAACAUUCAAGUAAAAUAAGUGCUUAAGGACGCAAAAACAAAGAAAGACAGGAGCGUCAACCAGAGGGCUAUGCAAGAUUUGGCUGUAUCUUCCUUCGAAUCAACACAACACCCACCAUCUUGAGGCCUUCCGGGUUUGCUGUUCAAAAAGAAUAAUGGCGCCAAACAGGUGAGCUGCAGCUGUCCUAACUGACUCAAGAUAAGUGGCCCCAAUGACUGAUCAUCGGUCAGUCACAGGACACGCAUAGACAAACAACCACUCACUCCUAUGGACAAUUUAUAUCCCAGCUGACUUCGGAUGAGAGGCGGCUUACACCCUGGACAGUCCCCCCAUUAAUCUACCAUGCAUAGUUAUGCGAUGUGAGAGAAAGUACAGGAGUACCCGGAGAAAACCAACAUGACGAUGUACCGGAACAAGAUUUGAAUCAGGUUUGUCUGGAUGUGAGGCACACAUUCACACCACUAGGACACAGUGUGGCUCUCAAGAAGAGAUGUUGGAAGCCCAAAAGGUCACCUUACUCUGCUUUCAGGUUGUAUAUUUCCGAAUUAGAAUGGUUUGGGGAAAAAUUUGCAUGAAACAUCCGUCAUGUACAAUAAGUAACCCUCCCUCCUGAAGUUUGUUACCGUGUCAAAUGUCAUCAAAAUUUGUUAAGUACAUGUUUUGGGUCCGAUUUUGUUUUUGUUAUAUGUUCUCCCUCUAGGAAAGAUUAUCCAGGAUUUUGAUGAUGUCUCCUACCAUCUGUUUGCUGACGACAUUCAGCUGUACUGUUCUUUUAAGGCUUCGGAGAUACAAAAAUUGAACUCUUUAAUGAAUUGUUUAGUGCAAAUAAAACAAUGGCUCGGCGCUAAUUCCCUUCAACUUAAUUCAGAUAAAACUGAGGUGCUGGUGAUUGCCCCUGAUGAAGCUAUUCCAGGGAUCAAACAGUAUUUGAGUGUUCACAGCCUGUCUUGUAAGUCAAGCCUCAGAAAUCUUGGAGUAAUUUUUGACAAGGAAAUGUCAUUACAGCACCACUCAAAGCAGCUCACUCGGAAUUGUUUCUUUCAGCUAAGAAAAAUCUCGAAACUUCGAACAAUGGUAUCUAAAGGUGAGCUCGAGAUGAUAAUCCAUGCCUUUGUGUCUUCUCGUUUAGACUACUGUAAUAGUUUGUUUUCUUGUCUAAACAAAAAAGAGUUGUCUCGUCUGCAACAGGUUCAAAAUUCUGCUGCGCGGUUAUUGACUCGAUGCAACAGAAGGGCUCACAUCAGGCCGAUUCUGGAAGCUCUCCAUUGGCUCCCUGUCUCAUUCCGUGUGAAUUUUAAAAUCCUGGUGCUCACUUUUAGAGCCUUGCACGGCCAGGCCCCUGUCUACAUACGAGACUUGUUGAUUCCCUAUAACCCCUCUCGGAGGCUGAGAUCGUUAGAUCAAAAUCUACUCAUGGUCCCUCGUAGUCGUUUUAGGACCCGAGGAGACCUAUCUUUUCAGGUUGUUGCGCCGAGGCUCUGGAAUGACCUGCCACCCUCCCUACGUUCGCUUGACUCUGUCGAUGCAUUUAAGAGUAACCUUAAAACUCACUUGUUUUUGCAGGCAUACCCAGCUCAGUAGAUUUAGGGUACUAUGACCAUCAUAUAUUUAUGUCUAUUUUAUUGUAUACUGUUUUUAUGUACUGUUUUAUGUCUAUUUUUAUUGUACAUUGUUUUAUUGUAUUAUUUUUUUAAUGUGUAUUUUAACUCUGUGUUUUGCCUUUUGUGAAGCACUUUGUGACUUCUGUCUGAGAAAGGUGCUAUAUAAAUAAAACUUACUUACUUACUUACUUACUUUUAAUGGAGGCAUACACUAUUUUUUUCUAUUUACAGUGCUUAACUUCUUUUUACACUUGUAUGAGGCUUAAAUAUGUGAAUAGGUAGGAUCUCUGCACUUCCUUAAAUGCACCGGAAAAAGAGCAGUCUUAUUUUGCAGUGCUUAAUGUAUUUUGAUAUAAAAGUUACACGGAAAUUGUAAAGUAAAUAAAGUUCUUAUAGCAAAAAUUUGACCCUGUAACAGAUUAACUCAGUUGCCUUU